This 278-nucleotide ribosomal RNA is filed under the name uncultured bacterium. RNAcentral's name for it is "partial 16S ribosomal RNA". It matches the Rfam family "Bacterial small subunit ribosomal RNA", at positions 29 to 333 of the family's 1533-position model. The record is from RNAcentral.
AACGAACGCUGGCGGCAGGCUUAACACAUGCAAGUCGAACGAGUGUAGCAAUACACUAGGUGGCGCACGGGUGCGUAACGCGUGGGAACCUUCCUCGUAGUUCGGAAUAACUCAGGGAAACUUGGGCUAAUACCGAAUGCCUCCUUCGGGAGAAAGAUUUAUCGCUACGAGAUGGGCCCGCGUCAGAUUAGGUAGUUGGUAGGUAAUGGCCUACCAAGCCGACGAUCUGUAGCUGGUCGAGAGGAUGAUCAGCCACACUGGGACUGAGACACGGCCCA